UUUUCAUUUAUUGAGUGAUUAGUUCCCUAACAUAAAGUAUUAUUAACCCUUGGAUAACUGUUAAAGAAUUACAUAUUCAUGAUUUAACUUAAAUUGGUUCAAAUGUUUUCCUCUGUAUGUUUAGUAGUUUUGUCACCUACUUUUGUCAUCUAAUUCUGGAGGUUAAUUUAAAGUUCUAGCUGAAUGAAUUUGCCAUGGAAUGUUGUUAAUCUCCCCCUCCUCAUCUCUUAGUCCUCUUCUGUUGUCAACACACUGAUCCUCUCUCCCUUCCCCACGAUCACUGCCACCUCUCCCUUGUCCCUCCUUUCAUGGCCCUCAGACUUGAACCUAGAUCGGGAGAGGAUUGGAUGCCUCUCCAUCUUUCAUGCUCACAGCUCGCACCCUUCCUCACGUGUCUUGUUCAUUCCAAAAAGCCUCGGAUGGAAUCCGGUCUUUUCUGCCCAUGAACUACUAUUCAAACGGGGAAUGAAACCUUCAUGAACGAUAUUUGUUAUGAAUAGUGAUAGAGUUCCUCAUUUCUCAACCCUAAUACCUUCUCGCACAUUUCUUAAUCACAUGACUUAUAAAGAGGCUAUUCCUAUCUUGAAACAUGGCCACAAAAGAUGCUAUAAACGAAACUAUAUUGAACUAAAGUCUCCUCGAUUGUUAUUUUUUUUCAAUUUGCGGCACAUUUAUGAAUAAAUGUGGCACAUCCAAAUACAUAUCUCCUUCGAAUUAAGUUUCAUGUGACAAGAAAUGUGUGGUUUCUCGGAUGUACUCUAUCAUGCACUGGAUUCCCUUCAGCCUUUUGUUGGACAAAACCCCAACCUCUCUGACAUUUACGUUAGAAGCUUGUAUAUCCUGCAUGAUUCUGCGUUUGUGUGCUUGUUUCAUGUAGCCAGCGGUGAACGGGAAAUUGAAAAGAAAAGAGAAAAUUAAUAAAUCAAGUAAUAUCGUGGGUUCACCUCUGACUGCUGCUAACAUUUCACUUUAUUGCUUUGUUUCUGUCUGUACAAGAGUCCUAUAUCAUUGUCUCAGUUUAUACAUGUUGUGACCAAAUGUUUGUUACUGUCUCAGUUUUUUUAAGUUUUUUUUUCUCUUUAAAUUCAGUGUAUGCAUGUGAUGCUGAUGGCCUCGUGUAUGGUGCC
Long non-coding RNA from Astatotilapia calliptera (eastern happy), 1127 nucleotides. Lineage: Eukaryota; Metazoa; Chordata; Actinopteri; Cichliformes; Cichlidae. The record is from Ensembl.